Molecule: ribosomal RNA, 402 nt
Filed under: Verrucomicrobiota bacterium
Lineage: Bacteria; Pseudomonadati; Verrucomicrobiota
Description: Verrucomicrobia bacterium partial 16S ribosomal RNA
Rfam family: Bacterial small subunit ribosomal RNA
Source: RNAcentral
UGGGGAAUUUUGCACAAUGGGGGAAACCCUGAUGCAGCGACGCCGCGUGAUUUAGAAGGCCUUCGGGUCGUAAAAAUCUUUUGUAUGGGAAGAAAAUGACAGUACCAUACGAAUAAGGACCGGCUAAUUACGUGCCAGCAGCCGCGGUAAUACGUAAGGUCCGAGCGUUGUCCGGAAUCAUUGGGCGUAAAGGGUACGUAGGCGGAUAAGCAAGUUAGAAGUGAAAUCCUAUAGCUCAACUAUAGUAAGCUUUUAAAACUGCUCAUCUUGAGGUAUGGAAGGGAAAGUGGAAUUCCUAGUGUAGCGGUGAAAUGCGCAGAUAUUAGGAGGAAUACCGGUGGCGAAGGCGACUUUCUGGCCAUAUACUGACGCUGAGGUACGAAAGCGUGGGUAGCAAACAGG